Molecule: ribosomal RNA, 492 nt
Filed under: uncultured bacterium
Lineage: Bacteria
Description: partial 16S ribosomal RNA
Rfam family: Bacterial small subunit ribosomal RNA
Source: RNAcentral
AGUGAACGCUGGCGGUAGGCCUAACACAUGCAAGUCGAACGGCAGCACAGUAAGAGCUUGCUCUUACGGGUGGCGAGUGGCGGACGGGUGAGGAAUACAUCGGAAUCUACUUUUUCGUGGGGGAUAACGUAGGGAAACUUACGCUAAUACCGCAUACGACCUACGGGUGAAAGCAGGGGAUCUUCGGACCUUGCGCGAUUGAAUGAGCCGAUGUCGGAUUAGCUAGUUGGCGGGGUAAAGGCCCGCCAAGGCGACGAUCCGUAGCUGGUCUGAGAGGAUGAUCAGCCACACUGGAACUGAGACACGGUCCAGACUCCUACGAGAGGCAGCAGUGGGGAAUAUUGGACAAUGGGCGCAAGCCUGAUCCAGCCAUACCGCGUGGGUGAAGAAGGCCUUCGGGUUGUAAAGCCCUUUUGUUGGGAAAGAAAAGCAGCAGGUUAAUACCCCGCUGUUCUGACGGUACCCAAAGAAUAAGCACCGGCUAACUUCGUG